RNAcentral lists this ribosomal RNA (340 nucleotides) under uncultured Chloroflexota bacterium. RNAcentral describes it as "bacterial SSU rRNA". It matches the Rfam family "Bacterial small subunit ribosomal RNA", at positions 1024 to 1382 of the family's 1533-position model. The record is from RNAcentral. Lineage: Bacteria; Bacillati; Chloroflexota.
AGGAAUUUGCACAGGUGCUGCAUGGCUGUCGUCAGCUCGUGCCGUGAGGUGUUAGGUUAAGUCCUGCAACGAGCGCAACCCUCGUCGCUAGUUAAUUUCUCUAGCGAUACUGCCCGUAAAACGUGGAGGAAGGUGGGGAUGACGUCAAGUCAGCAUGGCCUUUAUGUCUUGGGCUACACACACGCUACAAUGGAUGGUACAAAGGGUUGCCAAAGAGCGAUCUGGAGCUAAUCCCAAAAAACCAUCCUCAGUUCAGAUUGCAGGCUGCAAUGCCUGCAUGAAGUUGGAGUUGCUAGUAACCGCAGGUCAGCACACUGCGGUGAAUACGUUCUCGGGCCUU